RNAcentral lists this ribosomal RNA (244 nucleotides) under uncultured bacterium. RNAcentral describes it as "partial 16S ribosomal RNA". It matches the Rfam family "Bacterial small subunit ribosomal RNA", at positions 1256 to 1500 of the family's 1533-position model. The record is from RNAcentral.
CGCGAGAGUAAGCUAAUCUCUUAAGCCGUCUCAGUUCGGACUGUAGGCUGCAACUCGCCUACACGAAGUCGGAAUCGCUAGUAAUCGCGGAUCAGCAUGCCGCGGUGAAUACGUUCCCGGGCCUUGUACACACCGCCCGUCACACCAUGGGAGUUUGUAACGCCCAAAGUCGGUGGCCUAACCUUUAUGGAGGGAGCCGCCUAGGGCGGGACAGAUGAUUAGGGUGAAGUCGUAACAAGGUAGC